UACGUAGGGGGCAAGCGUUGUCCGGAUUUAUUGGGCGUAAAGAGCGUGUAGGCGGCUUGGUAGGUCCGUUGUGAAAACUCGAGGCUCAACCUCGAGACGCCGAUGGAAACCAUCAGACUAGAGUCCGGAAGAGGAGAGUGGAAUUCCUGGUGUAGCGGUGAAAUGCGCAGAUAUCAGGAAGAACACCCGUGGCUAAGGCGGCUCCCUAGUACGGUACUGACGCUGAGACGCGAAAGCGUGGGGAGCGAACAGG
RNAcentral lists this ribosomal RNA (253 nucleotides) under uncultured bacterium. RNAcentral's name for it is "partial 16S ribosomal RNA". It matches the Rfam family "Bacterial small subunit ribosomal RNA", at positions 524 to 776 of the family's 1533-position model. The record is from RNAcentral.